Molecule: long non-coding RNA, 1007 nt
Filed under: Nicotiana tabacum (common tobacco)
Lineage: Eukaryota; Viridiplantae; Streptophyta; Magnoliopsida; Solanales; Solanaceae
Description: long non-coding RNA (NTAB_LNC016881)
Source: RNAcentral
AUUCAGUUUAGGGUUUAAAACCCUAAUGCUGAUUGCAUGAAAAAGCUCAGUUUAGGGUUUAAAACCCUAAUGCUGGCUGAAAGGGAAAAGUUCAGUUUAGGGUUUAAAACCCUAAUGCUGACUAAAAGGACAAUUCAGUUUAGGGUUUAAAACCCUAAUGCUGAUUGCAUUGAAAAGCUCAGUUUAGGGUUUAAAACCCUAAUUCUGGCUGAAAGGAAAAAGUUCAGUUUAGGGUUUAAAACCCUAAUGCUGACUAAAAGGAAAAUUCAGUUUAGGGUUUAAAACCCUAAUGCUAACUAAAAGGAAAAACUCAGUUUAGGGCGUAAAACCCUAAUGUUGAUCACAUGGGAAAGCUCAGUUUAGGGUUUAAAACCCUAAUGCUGGCUGAAAGGAAAAAGUUCAGUUUAGGGUUUAAAACUCUAAUGCUGACUAAAAAGACAAUUCAGUUUAGGGUUUAAAACCCUAAUGUUGAUCACAUGGGAAAGCUCAGUUUAGGGUUUAAAACCCUAAUGCUGGCUGAAAGGGAAAAGUUCAGUUUAGGGUUUAAAACCCUAAUGCUGACUAAAAGGAAAAAGUUCAGUUUAGGGUUUAAAACCCUAAUGCUGACUAAAAGGAAAAUUCAGUUUAGGGUUUAAAACCCUAAUGCUGACUAAAAGGAAAAACUCAGUUUAGGGUUUAAAACCCUAAUGCUGAUUGCAUGGAAAAGCUCAGUUUGGGGUUUAAAACCCUAAUGCUGGCUGAAAGGAAAAAGUUCAGUUUAGGGUUUAAAACCCUAAUGCUGACCAAAAGGAAAAAAUUCAGUUUAGGGUUUAAAACCCUAAUGCUGAUUGCAUGGAAAAGCUCAGUUCAGGGUUUAAAACCCUAAUGUUGGCUGAAAGGGAAAAGUUCAGUUUAAGGUUUUAAAACCCUAAUGCUGACUAAAAGGAAAAAUUCAGUUUAGGGUUUAAAACCCUAAUGCUGAUCGCAUGGAAAAGCUCAGUUUAGGGUUUAAAACCCUAAUGCUGGCU